RNAcentral lists this ribosomal RNA (590 nucleotides) under uncultured Gammaproteobacteria bacterium. Its description in RNAcentral is "bacterial SSU rRNA". It matches the Rfam family "Bacterial small subunit ribosomal RNA", at positions 336 to 918 of the family's 1533-position model. The record is from RNAcentral. Lineage: Bacteria; Pseudomonadati; Pseudomonadota; Gammaproteobacteria.
UUCCUACGGGAGGCAGCAGUGGGGAAUAUUGCACAAUGGGCGCAAGCCUGAUGCAGCAAUGCCGCGUGUGUGAAGAAGGCCUGCGGGUUGUAAAGCACUUUUAUUGGGAAAGAAAAACCCGGAGCUAAUACCUCCGGCAUUGGCGGUACCCAAAGAAUAAGCACCGGCUAACUCAGUGCCAGCAGCCGCGGUAAUACUGAGGGUGCGAGCGUUAAUCGGAAUUACUGGGCGUAAAGCGAGUGUAGGCGGUUACCUAAGUCGGAUGUGAAAUCCCCGGGCUCAACCUGGGAAUUGCAUUCGAUACUGGGUGACUAGAGUUUGGUAGAGGUAAGUGGAAUUCCGGGUGUAGCGGUGAAAUGCGUAGAUAUCCGGAGGAACAUCAGUGGCGAAGGCGGCUUACUGGACCAAAACUGACGCUGAGGCUCGAAAGCGUGGGUAGCAAACAGGAUUAGAUACCCUGGUAGUCCACCCCCUAAACUAUGUCAACUAGACGUUGGGCUCAUUAAUGAGCUUAGUGUCGUAGCUAACGCGUUAAGUUGACCGCCUGGGGAGUACGGCCGCAAGGUUGAAACUCAAAGGAAUUGACGGAA